Ilex paraguariensis (yerba mate) is the source of this 117-nucleotide non-coding RNA. NCBI's taxonomy places the organism in Eukaryota, Viridiplantae, Streptophyta, Magnoliopsida, Aquifoliales, Aquifoliaceae. The record is from the annotation of a GenBank genome assembly.
AUCACCAAAAUCAACUAGUAACACUUGAUCUCAUCGGAACUCCGCAGCUAAGUGUGUUUAGGCGAGAGUAUAGUAUUAGAAUGGUCCAUCUUUUGAGAAAUCCUCCUAUUACAUCUC